RNAcentral lists this ribosomal RNA (657 nucleotides) under Streptococcus infantarius. RNAcentral describes it as "bacterial SSU rRNA". It matches the Rfam family "Bacterial small subunit ribosomal RNA", at positions 44 to 684 of the family's 1533-position model. The record is from RNAcentral. Lineage: Bacteria; Bacillati; Bacillota; Bacilli; Lactobacillales; Streptococcaceae.
GUGCCUAAUACAUGCAAGUAGAACGCUGAAGACUUUAGCUUGCUAAAGUUGGAAGAGUUGCGAACGGGUGAGUAACGCGUAGGUAACCUGCCUACUAGCGGGGGAUAACUAUUGGAAACGAUAGCUAAUACCGCAUAACAGCAUUUAACACAUGUUAGAUGCUUGAAAGGAGCAAUUGCUUCACUAGUAGAUGGACCUGCGUUGUAUUAGCUAGUUGGUGAGGUAACGGCUCACCAAGGCGACGAUACAUAGCCGACCUGAGAGGGUGAUCGGCCACACUGGGACUGAGACACGGCCCAGACUCCUACGGGAGGCAGCAGUAGGGAAUCUUCGGCAAUGGGGGCAACCCUGACCGAGCAACGCCGCGUGAGUGAAGAAGGUUUUCGGAUCGUAAAGCUCUGUUGUAAGAGAAGAACGUGUGUGAGAGUGGAAAGUUCACACAGUGACGGUAACUUACCAGAAAGGGACGGCUAACUACGUGCCAGCAGCCGCGGUAAUACGUAGGUCCCGAGCGUUGUCCGGAUUUAUUGGGCGUAAAGCGAGCGCAGGCGGUUUAAUAAGUCUGAAGUUAAAGGCAGUGGCUUAACCAUUGUUCGCUUUGGAAACUGUUAGACUUGAGUGCAGAAGGGGAGAGUGGAAUUCCAUGUGUAGCGGUGA